RNAcentral lists this long non-coding RNA (1474 nucleotides) under Sus scrofa (pig). RNAcentral's name for it is "lncRNA (ENSSSCG00000042573.1)". The record is from RNAcentral. Lineage: Eukaryota; Metazoa; Chordata; Mammalia; Artiodactyla; Suidae.
AUACAUACCUUUUUCCAUAUUUUAGAUUAUUUUUCUGAGACAUAUUUGUCUAUGGCCACAUUGAGGCUUUCCUGUUGAGCCAUGUCAAACAUUUGAAUUUUAUCCUAAAAAUAUUCGGAAGCACAAAGGGAUUUCAAGCAAGGGAAUAGUAGAUUGAGAUUUAUGUUUCAGAAAUAAGACUGUCAUGGUAGUUAGAAGAUUGUAGAGAAAAAAAGAGAAGAGACAGAGAGAUUUAUUGGAAUUAAAAAAAAAAAAAAAAAGCAGUUCAGGGAAUUGAUAACAAAGGCCUGGCCAAAGACGGUGGGAAUAAGAAAAUGGAUCGCAAAGUAUUUGUGACCCAACUAGACAGGACCUGGUGACUGGCUGGAUGUGGGGUUAAGGAGAGGGUGGCAUUGAGAAGGAUCCUGAGCUUUCCAUCUCAAGACAACGGAGGUGAAGAGUAAAGGAGGAGUAGGUUGGGGAGGAAAGAAUCCUAUUUAGGACCUCUUGAGUUGGAAAUGCUUGUAAGACAUCCUGGUGGAGACACCUAAGAAGUAACUGAACAUGUGUUUGGUACUUUGGAGAAAAGCGAAAGCUUGAAAAGAAAAUGUACACUUAGGUUAAUUGUUAAAGUAGUUAUUAAGUGAUUUCAGUGGGUAAGACACCUGUUACAAACUGUGAGAGACUCAAAUAAACAGAAAUGCAUUCUUCACCGGAUCCCGGAAGCUUAUAAUCAUCCUGCGUCACUAAAGCAAUUACCUUGUUAGGCUGUCAUUUCUCCAUUCACAUGUCUGCUUCUCCAAGCACACCGAGAUCCUCUCUGGGCCUAGGGCCCAGCUCUGUCCUUAUUCUCUUUUUAUCCUUUGUGAUAUGAUAUUCUCUUUCUUUCACAUGCAAUAAAGGGCACAGUGCAAGGUCAUUAGCCAUUAAUGCUUAUGGAAAGAUGAGUGAGUGAAAGGAAGAGCUUAUGAGGGGGCAACAAAGGGCUAAGAAGUUUAGGUUGUGAAAGAGACCCCAUCUUAUACCAUACACAAAAAUAAAUUCCAGACAAAGUCAAGACUCAGAUGUAAAAACAAACAAAAAAGCUUUGUGGGAGUGCCCACUGUGAUGCAGAUUAAGGAUCCAGCAUUGUCUCUCCAGUGGUUUGGAUUGAUGCUGAGGCGUGGGUUUGAUCUCCUGCCCAGCACAGUGGGUUAAGCAUCCAGUGUUGCCUAGCUGUGGCAUAGGUCACAGCUGUGGCUGGAAUUUAGUCUCUGGCCCGGGAACUUCCUUAUGCCACGGCUCAGUGGGUUAGGAACUCGACAAGUAUCCAUGAGGAUGCAGGUUUGAUCCCUGGCCUUGCUCAGUGGAUUAAGGAUCUGGUAUUGCCCUCAGCUGUGGAGUAGGUCACGGAUAUGGUUCAGAUCUGGUGUGGCUGUGGCUGUGGUGUAGGCCAGCAGCUGUAGCUCUGAUUCGAUCCCCUAGCCUGGGAACUUCCAUAUGCCAUAGGUGCAGC